RNAcentral lists this ribosomal RNA (442 nucleotides) under uncultured bacterium. RNAcentral describes it as "partial 16S ribosomal RNA". It matches the Rfam family "Bacterial small subunit ribosomal RNA", at positions 338 to 795 of the family's 1533-position model. The record is from RNAcentral.
CCUACGGGUGGCAGCAGUAGGGAAUCUUUCACAAUGGGCGAAAGCCUGAUGGAGCAACGCCGCGUGCAGGAUGAAGGCCUUCGGGUUGUAAACUGCUUUUAUAAGCGAGAAAUAUGAUGGUAACUUAUGAAUAAGGAUCGUCUAACUACGUGCCAGCAGCCGCGGUCAUACGUAGGAUCCGAGCAUUAUCCGGAGUGACUGGGUGUAAAGAGUUGCGUAGGUGGGAUAAUAAGUAGCUAGUGAAAUCUGGUGGCUCAACCAUUCAGACUAUUAGCGAAACUGUUAAGCUCGAGACCGUUAGGGGUAACUGGAAUUUCUAGUGUAGGAGUGAAAUCCGUAGAUAUUAGAAGGAACACCAAUAGCGUAGGCAGGUUGCUGGGACGGUUCUGACACUAAGGCACGAAAGCGUAGGGAGCAAACGGGAUUAGAUACCCCGGUAGUC